UACGGAGGAUCCGAGCGUUAUCCGGAUUUAUUGGGUUUAAAGGGUGCGCAGGCGGGGGAUUAAGUCGGCGGUGAAAUUUUGCAGCUCAACUGUAAAAGUGCCUUCGAAACUGGUUUCCUUGAGUGUAGAUGAAGUAGGCGGAAUUUGUGGUGUAGCGGUGAAAUGCAUAGAUAUCACGAGGAACUCCGAUUGCGCAGGCAGCUUACUAAACUAUAACUGACGCUCAGGCACGAAGGCGUGGGGAUCAAACAGGAUUAGAUACCCCCGUAGUCCCUGA
RNAcentral lists this ribosomal RNA (277 nucleotides) under uncultured prokaryote. RNAcentral's name for it is "partial 16S ribosomal RNA". It matches the Rfam family "Bacterial small subunit ribosomal RNA", at positions 524 to 800 of the family's 1533-position model. The record is from RNAcentral.